AGCAGCCGCGGUAAUUCCAGCUCCAAUAGCGUAUAUUAAAGUUGUUGCAGUUAAAAAGCUCGUAGUUGAAUUUCGGGAUUGACGUGACGGUCAUGCCUUAAGGGGUAUGAACUGUUACUGUUGAUUUCUCACCUUCUGGAGAAACUUGAUGUCCUUUAUUGGGUGUCUUGCGGAUCCAGGACCUUUACCUUGAAAAAUUAGAGUGUUUAAAGCAGGCAUUUUUGCUCGAAUACAUUAGCAUGGAAUAAUAGAAUAGGACGGCAUGGUUCUAUUUUGUUGGUUUCUAGGAUCACCGUAAUGAUUAAUAGGGAUAGUUGGGGGCAUUAGUAUUCAAUUGUCAGAGGUGAAAUUCUUGGAUUUAUUGAAGACUAACUACUGCGAAAGCAUUUGCCAAGGAUGUUUUCAUUAAUCAAGAACGAAAGUUAGGGGAUCGAAGACGAUCAGAUACCG
RNAcentral lists this ribosomal RNA (450 nucleotides) under uncultured Entrophospora. RNAcentral's name for it is "SSU rRNA". It matches the Rfam family "Eukaryotic small subunit ribosomal RNA", at positions 569 to 1017 of the family's 1831-position model. Lineage: Eukaryota; Fungi; Glomeromycota; Glomeromycetes; Entrophosporales; Entrophosporaceae. The record is from RNAcentral.